This 621-nucleotide ribosomal RNA is filed under the name uncultured cyanobacterium. RNAcentral's name for it is "bacterial SSU rRNA". It matches the Rfam family "Bacterial small subunit ribosomal RNA", at positions 340 to 974 of the family's 1533-position model. Lineage: Bacteria; Bacillati; Cyanobacteriota. The record is from RNAcentral.
UACGGGAGGCAGCAGUGGGGAAUUUUCCGCAAUGGGCGAAAGCCUGACGGAGCAAUACCGCGUGAGGGAGGAAGGCUCUAGGGUUGUAAACCUCUUUUCUCAGGGAAGAACAAAAUGACGGUACCUGAGGAAUCAGCAUCGGCUAACUCCGUGCCAGCAGCCGCGGUAAUACGGAGGAUGCAAGCGUUAUCCGGAAUUAUUGGGCGUAAAGCGUCCGCAGGUGGCAGUUCAAGUCUGCUGUUAAAGGUCGAGGCUCAACCCCGAACAGGCAGUGGAAACUGAACAGCUAGAGUGCGGUAGGGGCAGAGGGAAUUCCCAGUGUAGCGGUGAAAUGCGUAGAGAUUGGGAAGAACACCGGUGGCGAAAGCGCUCUGCUAGGCCGUAACUGACACUCAUGGACGAAAGCUAGGGGAGCGAAUGGGAUUAGAUACCCCAGUAGUCCUAGCCGUAAACGAUGGAUACUAGGCGUUGUGAGUAUCGACCCUCACAGUGUCGUAGCUAACGCGUUAAGUAUCCCGCCUGGGGAGUACGCGCGCAAGCGUGAAACUCAAAGGAAUUGACGGGGGCCCGCACAAGCGGUGGAGUAUGUGGUUUAAUUCGAUGCAACGCGAAGAACCUUAC